Molecule: ribosomal RNA, 254 nt
Filed under: uncultured bacterium
Lineage: Bacteria
Description: partial 16S ribosomal RNA
Rfam family: Bacterial small subunit ribosomal RNA
Source: RNAcentral
CACGUAGGGGACGAGCGUUGUCCGGAUUCAUUGGGCGUAAAGCGCGCGUAGGCGGCUCGGAAAGUCGGGCGUGAAAUGCCGGGGCUCAACCCCGGGACUGCGUCCGAUACUUCCGAGCUGGAGGUAGGUAGGGGAGAUCGGAAUUCCUGGUGUAGCGGUGAAAUGCGCAGAUAUCAGGAGGAACACCAGUGGCGAAGGCGACUACCUGGCCUGUUUCUUGACGCUGAGGCGCGAAAGCUAGGGGAGCAAACGGG